RNAcentral lists this ribosomal RNA (957 nucleotides) under Lactiplantibacillus plantarum. RNAcentral describes it as "bacterial SSU rRNA". It matches the Rfam family "Bacterial small subunit ribosomal RNA", at positions 66 to 1009 of the family's 1533-position model. The record is from RNAcentral. Lineage: Bacteria; Bacillati; Bacillota; Bacilli; Lactobacillales; Lactobacillaceae.
GCUUGCAUCAUGAUUUACAUUUGAGUGAGUGGCGAACUGGUGAGUAACACGUGGGAAACCUGCCCAGAAGCGGGGGAUAACACCUGGAAACAGAUGCUAAUACCGCAUAACAACUUGGACCGCAUGGUCCGAGCUUGAAAGAUGGCUUUGGCUAUCACUUUUGGAUGGUCCCGCGGCGUAUUAGCUAGAUGGUGGGGUAACGGCUCACCAUGGCAAUGAUACGUAGCCGACCUGAGAGGGUAAUCGGCCACAUUGGGACUGAGACACGGCCCAAACUCCUACGGGAGGCAGCAGUAGGGAAUCUUCCACAAUGGACGAAAGUCUGAUGGAGCAACGCCGCGUGAGUGAAGAAGGGUUUCGGCUCGUAAAACUCUGUUGUUAAAGAAGAACAUAUCUGAGAGUAACUGUUCAGGUAUUGACGGUAUUUAACCAGAAAGCCACGGCUAACUACGUGCCAGCAGCCGCGGUAAUACGUAGGUGGCAAGCGUUGUCCGGAUUUAUUGGGCGUAAAGCGAGCGCAGGCGGUUUUUUAAGUCUGAUGUGAAAGCCUUCGGCUCAACCGAAGAAGUGCAUCGGAAACUGGGAAACUUGAGUGCAGAAGAGGACAGUGGAACUCCAUGUGUAGCGGUGAAAUGCGUAGAUAUAUGGAAGAACACCAGUGGCGAAGGCGGCUGUCUGGUCUGUAACUGACGCUGAGGCUCGAAAGUAUGGGUAGCAAACAGGAUUAGAUACCCUGGUAGUCCAUACCGUAAACGAUGAAUGCUAAGUGUUGGAGGGUUUCCGCCCUUCAGUGCUGCAGCUAACGCAUUAAGCAUUCCGCCUGGGGAGUACGGCCGCAAGGCUGAAACUCAAAGGAAUUGACGGGGGCCCGCACAAGCGGUGGAGCAUGUGGUGUAAUUCGAAGCUACGCGAAGAACCUUACCAGGUCUUGACAUACUAUGCAAAUCUAAGAGAUUA